Molecule: ribosomal RNA, 1038 nt
Filed under: Halomonas sp.
Lineage: Bacteria; Pseudomonadati; Pseudomonadota; Gammaproteobacteria; Oceanospirillales; Halomonadaceae
Description: bacterial SSU rRNA
Rfam family: Bacterial small subunit ribosomal RNA
Source: RNAcentral
GAGCUACCAUGCAGUCGAGCGGUACAGGGGUAGCUUGCUACCCGCUGACGAGCGGCGGACGGGUGAGUAAUGCAUAGGAAUCUGCCCGAUAGUGGGGGAUAACCUGGGGAAACCCAGGCUAAUACCGCAUACGUCCUACGGGAGAAAGGGGGCUCCGGCUCCCGCUAUUGGAUGAGCCUAUGUCGGAUUAGCUAGUUGGUAAGGUAAUGGCUUACCAAGGCAACGAUCCGUAGCUGGUCUGAGAGGAUGAUCAGCCACAUCGGGACUGAGACACGGCCCGAACUCCUACGGGAGGCAGCAGUGGGGAAUAUUGGACAAUGGGGGCAACCCUGAUCCAGCCAUGCCGCGUGUGUGAAGAAGGCCCUCGGGUUGUAAAGCACUUUCAGCGAGGAAGAACGCCUAUCGGUUAAUACCCGGUAGGAAAGACAUCACUCGCAGAAGAAGCACCGGCUAACUCCGUGCCAGCAGCCGCGGUAAUACGGAGGGUGCAAGCGUUAAUCGGAAUUACUGGGCGUAAAGCGCGCGUAGGUGGCUUGAUAAGCCGGUUGUGAAAGCCCCGGGCUCAACCUGGGAACGGCAUCCGGAACUGUCAGGCUAGAGUGCAGGAGAGGAAGGUAGAAUUCCCGGUGUAGCGGUGAAAUGCGUAGAGAUCGGGAGGAAUACCAGUGGCGAAGGCGGCCUUCUGGACUGACACUGACACUGAGGUGCGAAAGCGUGGGUAGCAAACAGGAUUAGAUACCCUGGUAGUCCACGCCGUAAACGAUGUCGACCAGCCGUUGGGUGCCUAGAGCACUUUGUGGCGAAGUUAACGCGAUAAGUCGACCGCCUGGGGAGUACGGCCGCAAGGUUAAAACUCAAAUGAAUUGACGGGGGCCCGCACAAGCGGUGGAGCAUGUGGUUUAAUUCGAUGCACCGCGAAGAACCUUACCUACCCUUGACAUCUACAGAAGCCGGAAGAGAUUCUGGUGUGCCUUCGGGAACUGUAAGACAGGUGCUGCAUGGCUGUCGUCAGCUCGUGUUGUGAAAUGUUGGGUUAAG